AGUAACACGUGGAUAACCUACCUAUAAGACUGGGAUAACUUCGGGAAACCGGAGCUAAUACCGGAUAAUAUAUUGAACCGCAUGGUUCAAUAGUGAAAGACGGUUUUGCUGUCACUUAUAGAUGGAUCCGCGCCGCAUUAGCUAGUUGGUAAGGUAACGGCUUACCAAGGCAACGAUGCGUAGCCGACCUGAGAGGGUGAUCGGCCACACUGGAACUGAGACACGGUCCAGACUCCUACGGGAGGCAGCAGUAGGGAAUCUUCCGCAAUGGGCGAAAGCCUGACGGAGCAACGCCGCGUGAGUGAUGAAGGUCUUCGGAUCGUAAAACUCUGUUAUUAGGGAAGAACAAAUGUGUAAGUAACUAUGCACGUCUUGACGGUACCUAAUCAGAAAGCCACGGCUAACUACGUGCCAGCAGCCGCGGUAAUACGUAGGUGGCAAGCGUUAUCCGGAAUUAUUGGGCGUAAAGCGCGCGUAGGCGGUUUUUUAAGUCUGAUGUGAAAGCCCACGGCUCAACCGUGGAGGGUCAUUGGAAACUGGAAAACUUGAGUGCAGAAGAGGAAAGUGGAAUUCCAUGUGUAGCGGUGAAAUGCGCAGAGAUAUGGAGGAACACCAGUGGCGAAGGCGACUUUCUGGUCUGUAACUGACGCUGAUGUGCGAAAGCGUGGGGAUCAAACAGGAUUAGAUACCCUGGUAGUCCACGCCGUAAACGAUGAGUGCUAAGUGUUAGGGGGUUUCCGCCCCUUAGUGCUGCAGCUAACGC
RNAcentral lists this ribosomal RNA (763 nucleotides) under Staphylococcus epidermidis. RNAcentral's name for it is "bacterial SSU rRNA". It matches the Rfam family "Bacterial small subunit ribosomal RNA", at positions 109 to 858 of the family's 1533-position model. Lineage: Bacteria; Bacillati; Bacillota; Bacilli; Caryophanales; Staphylococcaceae. The record is from RNAcentral.